UCGAGAAUCUUCGGCAAUGGGCGCAAGCCUGACCGAGCGACGCCGCGUGGAGGACGAAGGCCUUCGGGUUGUAAACUCCUGUCGAGGGGGAGGAAGGGGCAACCUUGACCUAUCCCUGGAGGAAGCACGGGCUAAGUUCGUGCCAGCAGCCGCGGUAAGACGAACCGUGCGAACGUUAUUCGGAAUCAUUGGGCUUAAAGCGCGUGUAGGCGGAUGGGAACGUCGGCUUUGAAAGCCCCCGGCUCAACCG
This 250-nucleotide ribosomal RNA is filed under the name uncultured bacterium. RNAcentral describes it as "partial 16S ribosomal RNA". It matches the Rfam family "Bacterial small subunit ribosomal RNA", at positions 355 to 615 of the family's 1533-position model. The record is from RNAcentral.